This 266-nucleotide long non-coding RNA is filed under the name Medicago truncatula (barrel medic). Its description in RNAcentral is "lncRNA gene14247". The record is from RNAcentral. Lineage: Eukaryota; Viridiplantae; Streptophyta; Magnoliopsida; Fabales; Fabaceae.
GAGUUAUUGGCCAAAUGAAUUGUAAAUGAAUUGUGAUUCACUGAUUUGUGACUCCCAUGAAUUUAUUGUGGCAAUCUAUGUGCAAAUCCCAUUUACCAAAAAUCAUUUGCUAAUUUUUUAAUUAAUAAUUACCAAAACUUGAAUGAUUAUGGUGUAGUAAUGGUCAGUUACACAUCUUACUUAUUACCUUUAUUAUAAGCGGCUGACAAUUAUAUGGGUAACUCCUUUUUACCAAAAUUAUGUACCUUUAUUUCUUAUUGUAACUC